GAUGAACGCUGGCGGCGUGCCUAAUACAUGCAAGUCGAGCGAACAGACGAGGAGCUUGCUCCUCUGACGUUAGCGGCUGACGGGUGAGUAACACGUGGAUAACCUACCUAUAAGACUGGGAUAACUUCGGGAAACCGGAGCUAAUACCGGAUAAUAUAUUGAACCGCAUGGUUCAAUAGUGAAAGACGGUUUUGCUGUCACUUAUAGAUGGAUCCGCGCCGCAUUAGCUAGUUGGUAAGGUAACGGCUUACCAAGGCGACGAUGCGUAGCCGACCUGAGAGGGUGAUCGGCCACACUGGAACUGAGUCACGGUCCAGACUCCUACGGGAGGCAGCAGUAGGGAAUCUUCCGAAAUGGGCGAAAGCCUGACGGAGCAACGCCGCGUGAGUGAUGAAGGUCUUCGGAUCUUAAAACUCUGUUAUUAGGGAAGAACAAAUGUGUAAGUAACUAUGCACGUCUUGACGGUACCUAAUCAGAAAGCCACGGCUAACUACGUG
Molecule: ribosomal RNA, 497 nt
Filed under: uncultured bacterium
Lineage: Bacteria
Description: partial 16S ribosomal RNA
Rfam family: Bacterial small subunit ribosomal RNA
Source: RNAcentral